GACGGUGAAGGUCCGGUGGUCGAG
Molecule: non-coding RNA, 24 nt
Filed under: Arabidopsis thaliana (thale cress)
Lineage: Eukaryota; Viridiplantae; Streptophyta; Magnoliopsida; Brassicales; Brassicaceae
Source: RNAcentral